RNAcentral lists this ribosomal RNA (536 nucleotides) under Beltraniopsis longiconidiophora. Its description in RNAcentral is "eukaryotic LSU rRNA". The stretch from base 200 to 353 matches the Rfam family "5.8S ribosomal RNA". The record is from RNAcentral. Lineage: Eukaryota; Fungi; Ascomycota; Sordariomycetes; Xylariales.
ACAAGGUCUCCGUUGGUGAACCAGCGGAGGGAUCAUUAUAGAGUUUUUAACUCCCAACCCAUGUGAACUUACCAUUGUUGCCUCGGCGGAGCUUACCCUGUAGCUACCCUAUAAGGUGGUUACCCUGUAACGCCCCGCCGGUGGAUUUCAAACUCUUGUUUUUUAAUGUAAUCUGAGAGUCUUAUUUUAAAUAAGUCAAAACUUUCAACAACGGAUCUCUUGGUUCUGGCAUCGAUGAAGAACGCAGCGAAAUGCGAUAAGUAAUGUGAAUUGCAGAAUUCAGUGAAUCAUCGAAUCUUUGAACGCACAUUGCGCCCAUCAGUAUUCUGGUGGGCAUGCCUGUUCGAGCGUCAUUUCAACCCUUAAGCCUAGCUUAGUGUUGGGAAUCUACGUCUGGGUGCCGCCUUGCGCGGCUACCCUGUAGUUCCUGAAAAUCAACGGCGGAUUUAUAGUAUCCUCUGAGCGUAGUAAUUUUUUAUCUCGCUUUUGUUUAGGUGCUGUAACUCUUGCCGUUAAACCCCCAAUUUUUAAUGGUG